This is a non-coding RNA of Caenorhabditis elegans, 21 nucleotides long. The record is from Ensembl. Lineage: Eukaryota; Metazoa; Nematoda; Chromadorea; Rhabditida; Rhabditidae.
UACACUGCUGUUGGAAAAUUU